ACACUCCUACGGGAGGCAGCAGUGGGGAAUAUUGGACAAUGGGCGCAAGCCUGAUCCAUCCAUGCCGCGUGAGUGAUGAAGGCCCUAGGGUUGUAAAGCUCUUUCACCGGUGAAGAUAAUGACGGUAACCGGAGAAGAAGCCCCGGCUAACUUCGUGCCAGCAGCCGCGGUAAUACGAAGGGGGCUAGCGUUGUUCGGAUUUACUGGGCGUAAAGCGCACGUAGGCGGACUAUUAAGUCAGGGGUGAAAUCCCGGGGCUCAACCCCGGAACUGCCUUUGAUACUGGUAGUCUUGAGUUCGAGAGAGGUGAGUGGAAUUCCGAGUGUAGAGGUGAAAUUCGUAGAUAUUCGGAGGAACACCAGUGGCGAAGGCGGCUCACUGGCUCGAUACUGACGCUGAGGUGCGAAAGCGUGGGGAGCAAACAGGAUUAGAAACCCUUGUAGUCCCAU
This 449-nucleotide ribosomal RNA is filed under the name uncultured organism. Its description in RNAcentral is "partial 16S ribosomal RNA". It matches the Rfam family "Bacterial small subunit ribosomal RNA", at positions 333 to 798 of the family's 1533-position model. The record is from RNAcentral.